This 2597-nucleotide ribosomal RNA is filed under the name Klebsiella pneumoniae. Its description in RNAcentral is "partial 23S ribosomal RNA". It matches the Rfam family "Bacterial large subunit ribosomal RNA", at positions 354 to 2925 of the family's 2925-position model. The record is from RNAcentral. Lineage: Bacteria; Pseudomonadati; Pseudomonadota; Gammaproteobacteria; Enterobacterales; Enterobacteriaceae.
CGGUACAGGGUGAUAGUCCCGUACACCAAAAUGCACAGGUUGUGAACUCGAAGAGUAGGGCGGGACACGUGGUAUCCUGUCUGAAUAUGGGGGGACCAUCCUCCAAGGCUAAAUACUCCUGACUGACCGAUAGUGAACCAGUACCGUGAGGGAAAGGCGAAAAGAACCCCGGCGAGGGGAGUGAAAAAGAACCUGAAACCGUGUACGUACAAGCAGUGGGAGCACCUUCGGGUGUGACUGCGUACCUUUUGUAUAAUGGGUCAGCGACUUAUAUUCUGUAGCAAGGUUAACCGUAUAGGGGAGCCGCAGGGAAACCGAGUCUUAACUGGGCGUUAAGUUGCAGGGUAUAGACCCGAAACCCGGUGAUCUAGCCAUGGGCAGGUUGAAGGUUGGGUAACACUAACUGGAGGACCGAACCGACUAAUGUUGAAAAAUUAGCGGAUGACUUGUGGCUGGGGGUGAAAGGCCAAUCAAACCGGGAGAUAGCUGGUUCUCCCCGAAAGCUAUUUAGGUAGCGCCUCGUGAACUCAUCUUCGGGGGUAGAGCACUGUUUCGGCUAGGGGGUCAUCCCGACUUACCAACCCGAUGCAAACUACGAAUACCGAAGAAUGUUAUCACGGGAGACACACGGCGGGUGCUAACGUCCGUCGUGAAGAGGGAAACAACCCAGACCGCCAGCUAAGGUCCCAAAGUCAUGGUUAAGUGGGAAACGAUGUGGGAAGGCACAGACAGCCAGGAUGUUGGCUUAGAAGCAGCCAUCAUUUAAAGAAAGCGUAAUAGCUCACUGGUCGAGUCGGCCUGCGCGGAAGAUGUAACGGGGCUAAACCAUGCACCGAAGCUGCGGCAGCGACACUAUGUGUUGUUGGGUAGGGGAGCGUUCUGUAAGCCUGCGAAGGUGUGCUGUGAGGCAUGCUGGAGGUAUCAGAAGUGCGAAUGCUGACAUAAGUAACGAUAAAGCGGGUGAAAAGCCCGCUCGCCGGAAGACCAAGGGUUCCUGUCCAACGUUAAUCGGGGCAGGGUGAGUCGACCCCUAAGGCGAGGCCGAAAGGCGUAGUCGAUGGGAAACAGGUUAAUAUUCCUGUACUUGGUGUUACUGCGAAGGGGGGACGGAGAAGGCUAUGUUAGCCGGGCGACGGUUGUCCCGGUUUAAGCAUGUAGGCUGGUUAUCCAGGCAAAUCCGGAUAAUCAAGGCUGAGGUGUGAUGACGAGGCACUACGGUGCUGAAGUAACAAAUGCCCUGCUUCCAGGAAAAGCCUCUAAGCAUCAGGUAACAUCAAAUCGUACCCCAAACCGACACAGGUGGUCAGGUAGAGAAUACCAAGGCGCUUGAGAGAACUCGGGUGAAGGAACUAGGCAAAAUGGUGCCGUAACUUCGGGAGAAGGCACGCUGGUGUGUAGGUGAAGUCCCUGCGGAUGGAGCUGAGACCAGUCGAAGAUACCAGCUGGCUGCAACUGUUUAUUAAAAACACAGCACUGUGCAAACACGAAAGUGGACGUAUACGGUGUGACGCCUGCCCGGUGCCGGAAGGUUAAUUGAUGGGGUUAUCCGUAAGGAGAAGCUCUUGAUCGAAGCCCCGGUAAACGGCGGCCGUAACUAUAACGGUCCUAAGGUAGCGAAAUUCCUUGUCGGGUAAGUUCCGACCUGCACGAAUGGCGUAAUGAUGGCCAGGCUGUCUCCACCCGAGACUCAGUGAAAUUGAACUCGCUGUGAAGAUGCAGUGUACCCGCGGCAAGACGGAAAGACCCCGUGAACCUUUACUAUAGCUUGACACUGAACAUUGAGCCUUGAUGUGUAGGAUAGGUGGGAGGCUUUGAAGCGUGGACGCCAGUCUGCGUGGAGCCAACCUUGAAAUACCACCCUUUAAUGUUUGAUGUUCUAACGUUGGCCCCUGACCGGGGUUGCGGACAGUGUCUGGUGGGUAGUUUGACUGGGGCGGUCUCCUCCCAAAGCGUAACGGAGGAGCACGAAGGUUAGCUAAUCCUGGUCGGACAUCAGGAGGUUAGUGCAAUGGCAUAAGCUAGCUUGACUGCGAGCGUGACGGCGCGAGCAGGUGCGAAAGCAGGUCAUAGUGAUCCGGUGGUUCUGAAUGGAAGGGCCAUCGCUCAACGGAUAAAAGGUACUCCGGGGAUAACAGGCUGAUACCGCCCAAGAGUUCAUAUCGACGGCGGUGUUUGGCACCUCGAUGUCGGCUCAUCACAUCCUGGGGCUGAAGUAGGUCCCAAGGGUAUGGCUGUUCGCCAUUUAAAGUGGUACGCGAGCUGGGUUUAGAACGUCGUGAGACAGUUCGGUCCCUAUCUGCCGUGGGCGCUGGAGAAUUGAGGGGGGCUGCUCCUAGUACGAGAGGACCGGAGUGGACGCAUCACUGGUGUUCGGGUUGUCAUGCCAAUGGCACUGCCCGGUAGCUAAAUGCGGAAGAGAUAAGUGCUGAAAGCAUCUAAGCACGAAACUUGCCCCGAGAUGAGUUCUCCCUGAGACUAUAAGUCUCCUGAAGGAACGUUAAAGACGAUGACGUUGAUAGGCCGGGUGUGUAAGCGCAGCGAUGCGUUGAGCUAACCGGUACUAAUGAACCGUGAGGCUUAACCUUACAACGCCGAAG